RNAcentral lists this ribosomal RNA (750 nucleotides) under Triticum aestivum (bread wheat). Its description in RNAcentral is "partial small subunit ribosomal RNA". Lineage: Eukaryota; Viridiplantae; Streptophyta; Magnoliopsida; Poales; Poaceae. The record is from RNAcentral.
AUGAAGGGAACCGGGAAGUGGACAGUGCAGCAGGCCGCUGAGCUCUCUGUGGCUGCUCCUACCAUUGAGGCGUCCUUGGACUCCAGGUUCCUCAGCGUGCUCAAGGACGAGAGGGUGGCUGCUUCCAAGAUCUUCCAGGGUGACUACAGCAGCGGCGAAACUGUUGACAAGGCACAGCUGAUCGAGGAUGUGAGGAAGGCCCUCUACGCCUCCAAGAUCUGCAGCUAUGCCCAGGGCAUGAACAUCAUCAAGGCCAAGAGCACGGAGAAGGGAUGGGGCCUCAAGCUCGGCGAGCUGGCCAGGAUCUGGAAGGGCGGGUGCAUCAUCCGUGCCAGCUUCCUCGACCGCAUCAAGAAGGCCUAUGACAGGAACGGUGAGCUCGCCAACCUCCUCAUCGACCCCGAGUUUGCCCAGGAGAUCAUGGACAGGCAAGCCGCGUGGCGGAGGGUCGUCUGCCUCGCCAUCAACAACGGCGUCAGCACCCCCGGCAUGUCUGCGAGUCUGGCAUACUUCGACUCCUACCGGAGGGACAGGCUUCCUGCCAACCUCGUCCAGGCCCAGAGCAUAGUAGCCGGAAACGGGGAACGCCACGGACUCCCGUCCCUCGUUCCCGUUCCUUGUUCCCACCGUACCGGAAACAUGCCAACUAUGGCCCAGAGGGACUACUUUGGGGCGCACACCUACGAGAGGGUCGACAUGCCCGGCUCCUUCCACACCGAGUGGUACAAGAUCGCCAACUCGAAGAUCUAA